CAGUCGCCGCGGUAAUACGUAGGGUGCAAGCGUUAAUCGGAAUUACUGGGCGUAAAGCGUGCGUAGGCGGUUCGUUAAGUCUGUUGUGAAAGCCCCGGGCUCAACCUGGGAAUGGCAAUGGAUACUGGCGAGCUAGAGUGUGUCAGAGGAUGGUGGAAUUCCCGGUGUAGCGGUGAAAUGCGUAGAGAUCGGGAGGAACAUCAGUGGCGAAGGCGGCCAUCUGGGACAACACUGACGCUGAGGCACGAAAGCGUGGGGAGCAAACAGGAUUAGAUACCCCGGUAGUCCCUGUCUCUUAUAC
RNAcentral lists this ribosomal RNA (301 nucleotides) under uncultured bacterium. RNAcentral's name for it is "partial 16S ribosomal RNA". It matches the Rfam family "Bacterial small subunit ribosomal RNA", at positions 509 to 807 of the family's 1533-position model. The record is from RNAcentral.